GACGAACGCUGGCGGCGUGCUUAACACAUGCAAGUCGAACGGAAAGGCACUGCUUUUGUGGGGUUCUCGAGUGGCGAACGGGUGAGUAACACGUGAGUAACCUGCCCUUGUCUUUGGGAUAACUUCAGGAAACUGGGGCUACUACCGGAUAGGAGCUCCUGCUCCAUGGUGGGGGUUGGAACGUUUCGGCGGGUGGGGAUGGACUCGCGGCUUAUCAGCUUGUUGGUGGGGUAGUGGCUUACCAAGGCUGUGACGGGUAGCCGGCCUGAGAGGGUGACCGGCCACAUUGGGACUGAGAGACGGCCCAGACUCGUACGGGAGGCAGCAGUGGGGAAUAUUGCACAACGGGAGGAAGCCUGAUGCAGCAACGCCGCGUGCGGGAUGACGGCCUUCGGGUUGUAAACCGCUUUCGCCUGUGACGAAGCGUGAGUGACGGUAAUGGGUAAAGAAGCACCGGCUAACUACGUG
This 468-nucleotide ribosomal RNA is filed under the name uncultured bacterium. Its description in RNAcentral is "partial 16S ribosomal RNA". It matches the Rfam family "Bacterial small subunit ribosomal RNA", at positions 28 to 507 of the family's 1533-position model. The record is from RNAcentral.